AGUGGAGCCUGCGGCUUAAUUUGACUCAACACGGGAAACCUCACCAGGCCCGGACACCGGAAGGAUUGACAGAUUGAGAGCUCUUUCUUGAUUCGGUGGGUGGUGGUGCAUGGCCGUUCUUAGUUGGUGGAGCGAUUUGUCUGGUUAAUUCCGAUAACGAACGAGACUCUAGCCUGCUAACUAGGCGUAUUUCGACAUCCCAAAGGCCCGCCGGUUCGAGGUUUCGGCCUCUUAUCGCGCGCGGUUUUUACUGUCGGCGUACAAACAAUUCUUCUUAGAGGGACAGGCGGCAUUUAGCCGCACGAGAUUGAGCAAUAACAGGUCUGUGAUGCCCUUAGAUGUUCUGGGCCG
This 351-nucleotide ribosomal RNA is filed under the name Paraglenea fortunei. RNAcentral describes it as "SSU rRNA". It matches the Rfam family "Eukaryotic small subunit ribosomal RNA", at positions 1175 to 1489 of the family's 1831-position model. RNAcentral also lists the same sequence under 2 other names. Lineage: Eukaryota; Metazoa; Arthropoda; Insecta; Coleoptera; Cerambycidae. The record is from RNAcentral.